ACGGGCAACUCUGGAGAGAGGUCGCAGAUGUCAUGCGGCCCGCCGAAGGUGAUACCGGAUCUGCUACCCGGGAAACUCUCAGGCACCAAGGACAGAGGGGACCCU
This 105-nucleotide non-coding RNA is filed under the name Betaproteobacteria bacterium UKL13-2. RNAcentral's name for it is "Glycine riboswitch aptamer". It matches the Rfam family "Glycine riboswitch aptamer". Rfam says of the family: This family represents the bacterial glycine riboswitch. Glycine riboswitches usually consist of two metabolite-binding aptamers domains with similar structures in tandem. Lineage: Bacteria; Pseudomonadati; Pseudomonadota; Betaproteobacteria. RNAcentral also lists the same sequence under 1 other name. The record is from Rfam by way of RNAcentral.